UUAACACCCAGUCAUUGUGGAAUGCCGUCUACUUAAGACCGAUAUGGAGCUGGAGGUCCUGCGCUACACCAACAGAAUUUCCAGUGAUGCCCACAAAAUGGUCAUGAAGCAUGUGUAGC
Long non-coding RNA from Larimichthys crocea (large yellow croaker), 119 nucleotides. RefSeq lists it as uncharacterized. Lineage: Eukaryota; Metazoa; Chordata; Actinopteri; Sciaenidae. The record is from RefSeq and is a predicted model, not a curated record. The transcript has 3 exons.